UCUGCCUGGUAGUGGGGGAUAACGUCCGGAAACGGGCGCUAAUACCGCAUACGUCCUGAGGGAGAAAGUGGGGGAUCUUCGGACCUCACGCUAUCAGAUGAGCCUAGGUCGGAUUAGCUAGUUGGUGGGGUAAAGGCCUACCAAGGCGACGAUCCGUAACUGGUCUGAGAGGAUGAUCAGUCACACUGGAACUGAGACACGGUCCAGACUCCUACGGGAGGCAGCAGUGGGGAAUAUUGGACAAUGGGCGAAAGCCUGAUCCAGCCAUGCCGCGUGUGUGAAGAAGGUCUUCGGAUUGUAAAGCACUUUAAGUUGGGAGGAAGGGCAGUAAGUUAAUACCUUGCUGUUUUGACGUUACCAACAGAAUAAGCACCGGCUAACUUCGUGCCAGCAGCCGCGGUAAUACGAAGGGUGCAAGCGUUAAUCGGAAUUACUGGGCGUAAAGCGCGCGUAGGUGGUUCAGCAAGUUGGAUGUGAAAUCCCCGGGCUCAACCUGGGAA
RNAcentral lists this ribosomal RNA (500 nucleotides) under Pseudomonas aeruginosa. RNAcentral's name for it is "bacterial SSU rRNA". It matches the Rfam family "Bacterial small subunit ribosomal RNA", at positions 125 to 620 of the family's 1533-position model. Lineage: Bacteria; Pseudomonadati; Pseudomonadota; Gammaproteobacteria; Pseudomonadales; Pseudomonadaceae. The record is from RNAcentral.